This 253-nucleotide ribosomal RNA is filed under the name uncultured bacterium. RNAcentral describes it as "partial 16S ribosomal RNA". It matches the Rfam family "Bacterial small subunit ribosomal RNA", at positions 524 to 776 of the family's 1533-position model. The record is from RNAcentral.
UACGUAGGUGACCAGCGUUGUCCGGAUUUACUGGGCGUAAAGAGCGCGCAGGCGGUCGUUCAAGUCGAGUGUGAAAGACCCCGGCUCAACUGGGGAGGGUCGUGCGAUACGGGCGAACUGGAGGCCAGUAGGGGGAUGCGGAAUUCCGGGUGUAGUGGUGGAAUGCGUAGAGAUCCGGAGGAACACCAGCGGCGAAGGCGGCAUCCUGGACUGGUCCUGACACUCAGGAGCGAAAGCGUGGGGAGCGAUCCGG